AUGGAUGUGGCUCAGCAGUGGAGCACUUGCCUCGCAUGCAUGAGAUCCUGGGUUCGAAUCCCAGUACUAUA
Molecule: transfer RNA, 71 nt
Filed under: Cricetulus griseus (Chinese hamster)
Lineage: Eukaryota; Metazoa; Chordata; Mammalia; Rodentia; Cricetidae
Rfam family: tRNA
About the family: Transfer RNA (tRNA) molecules are approximately 80 nucleotides in length. Their secondary structure includes four short double-helical elements and three loops (D, anti-codon, and T loops).
Source: Rfam by way of RNAcentral